GACAAUAUAACAAAUCAGAUAAAGAUAGGGGGAGUCCCUGAGGUCACUGUUCACCCUCCUGUUUGAGAACUUGGAAAUGGUCAAGAUCCUUACCCCUAAACCAUAUAUACUCAUGUAUGGGACAAUAUAACAAAUCAAAUGAAAUAUAAGGGAAGUCCCUGUGGUCAUCCCAACCCUCCUGUUUGAGAACUUGGAAACGGUCGACAUCCCCACACCAAAACAAUAUAUAUUCAUGUAUGG
RNAcentral lists this long non-coding RNA (240 nucleotides) under Mytilus galloprovincialis (Mediterranean mussel). The record is from RNAcentral. Lineage: Eukaryota; Metazoa; Mollusca; Bivalvia; Mytilida; Mytilidae.